Molecule: long non-coding RNA, 12218 nt
Organism: Drosophila elegans
Lineage: Eukaryota; Metazoa; Arthropoda; Insecta; Diptera; Drosophilidae
Exons: 2
Source: RefSeq, a predicted model, not a curated record
CGACGGCUCUGCCAUUUUCUGCUGGGCUGCGCGUUGGCAUUGAAAGUGCGGCAGGCGAGCUGCCAACAACGCUCCAUUCCCAGCAAAUCUCCAAUCGGAACCAGAAGAAUUCUAAGCACAACAAAAAGUACUUUAAUACCACAAAAAAGCCAACAAACAAUUCCCCUUUUAUUUGUUACAAAUUAGACACGCAAAUGACAUCAACAGCUAAAUUGAAUUUGUCAGAACCAACCCAAUCACAAUACGAAAGCAAACAACAAUGCAAAAUAAUUGCAAAUUAAUUGUGUUCAAUUCUACUACAAGUGCUUGUCAAAUUAAAAAAAAAAAUACUCAAGCCAAAAUAAAUAUAAAUUAUUCCUUGCCCAAAAUAAUUAAAAUCAUUUAACCUGCAUUCUAUAGUGCGCUCCGGAAUCACGGAAAUAAAGAACGGAAGAAAGAGAAAGAGAGAAAUGGAUUUCAAAAUGCAAGUGCAUUUCACAACUAUUUUAAAUACGUGCCCCAAACCAGUGAGUUCUUAUUACAUGAAAAUGAUAGAAUAUUAAAAAAAGGAAAUUGGAAUAUUAUUUGUGAAAAUACAAUUAAAAAUAAAAAUUCUUUGGCAGAAGAACAUAAAAUCAACAAAGAUUUUAAGAGGGUGGUGAGCUGCGUCAGCAUGGAAAUUUAAUUAGCGACAGUUCAGUUCAGCUGAGCAGCGCUAAGUCGAAAGGAUUUGACUGACCCGCCCUCUAAAUUCACCCACCCACAUCCCACUCGGUCGAAAAGGGGGUGGGAGAUUUCGUUGAUUUUUGCAUGACGACAGCAAAAAGCGAAAAGGCGGAACAACAAUCGAAAUGCAACUGAACGUGCGUGUGUUGGUGUGCAAGCGAGGCGGCCUAUAUACAGCAGACAUGCGCUCUCACUCAGAGACUUGAACUUGAAAACUCUUUACUGCCGGCAAAAAUCGAGAGAAACAGAAAGAGAGACGCAGCAGGUAUGUGUUUUGUAUGAGGAGCUGUUUGCCAUUGAUUAAGUUAAACAAAAACAAAAUCAGAGCAGAGUACUAGCUUCGCUCUCAUAGCGUUUGCUCUUUUGCGAGAGUGUGAGUGUGUCAGAGAGGAGCUUUUGCGUGGGCGGCUUAAAGCAGCGCAGUCGACGUCGCUGCCAGCGUCGGCCAACUGUUUGCUGUUUUGUUGUUGUGUAGUCACAUACUGUUGCAUACCUAAGGGGAUAGGAGGAUAUGGGAGAAAAUCGGACGAAAAGCGGGGUGAAAGGCGGUAAAAUCAGGCAGUGGAGGAGGGGAAGUGACCUCCACCUGUGCGAGCCCAGCUGCAGCUUCCCUGUUGGCCAAGUUUAUUCGGUGACGAGCGGGCGACCGAUGAGGUCAGCAUCACGCAUACGCCUAGUUAUCCCCUGUAUCCUGUAUCCUGUAUCCCGUAUCCUGUUCAGUGUCGGUAUCGGUGUGUGCGAGUGCUUGUUGGUGUGUGUUUUGUUCUUCCCAAGUUCAUUUUAAAGGCGCGUCGCCCUUAAUAGCAAAAUCAGGUGUGGAGAAUUGAUUAGCACAGCCCAAAAUAGGAGAAAAAUUCAAACAAUAUGGUUGGUGUUUUGUGUAUGUAUGUAUGUACUUACAUAGAACUCAAGUGACGCACGCCAGCAUAUGGCAAUUAAAUUUGAAUAAUUAAGCAGCUGAGUACGACACGAACCGAACUCUCCUCCACACAGACAUAUGUAUGUAUGUACUUGUAUGUACAUACAAUACCAACUCACACUUUGGGCAUGUGCAACACUCGUUCUUGUUGUCUUGCACCUUGACCUUUCCACACCCAUGCAGCAAUACGCGUGGGCAGCAUUCGGAUACACACGCCCAUAUUGAGGGGAUCGGGAAUAUGGAUAUACAUAUAUACUCGUUUAUGUGGAACAACCCACAAGUCGGCUGGCAGCUGUUGGAGCCGAAUCCAAGGAGACGAGAUGCAAGCCAAAAGCACUUCGGUUAUCCCCCAGAAAAGGUCCAGUUUGGCCAACGGAAAGUUUUGGACACAGGUCACAGAUGGCAAAAGUGCAAUAAAUUAAAUAUCAAGAAAAGACCAAGAAAUAGUGAACAGUUGAAAUAGUACAAGAGUUUUUAGAUAAAGUGAUUAAAUAAAAUAACUUGCGAAAAUAGGUUUCGGACUAAAAUAAAUCAGAAAUCAAUUAAUAAGGGCUAGAAACCAAGUUUUAAUUAAUUGUUUAUUAUAUAUCCUCUACAAUUUAUGGAGAGUCUAUGAGGAGGGCCGUAGUUAUAUCUUGUAUCACAUCAAAAGUCUCUAAGUAUCAGAAACCAAUGAAAUUCAAUUGUUAGUAAAGGAAUUAAAAAUUCAUUAUUGAUUUAAUUGUUAAAGAUUCAUUAUAAAUAAUUUUAAAUAUAUUACUUUAUCAAUAUCAACAUCUGGAAAUGAAUAUUAAAAUUAAAGUACAUUGGUUACAGAAAAUUAAAAAAAACUAUUAUAAGCGGUUUUAGUAACUGACUUGAAAAGAGGUAAUAAUUUUAAAACUAAUAUUUUAAAUAUUUCACAAAUUUGAAAGGGAUGCGUUAGAGCAAGAAUAUAUCAAUUAGGACUGUGUGGAAAUAUCAAAUUUAUUUUCAACAUAUCUCACAACUUAAUACAUUGAAGUGAUAAACAAAUAAGUGUGCGUAAAUGUGAUUUAACUGAAAAACGUAUGUAAAAAAAGUGCAGCUGAAUAAAAAACAUUGUGGAAACUUCAUCUGUAGCUUGAAGCAGAGCGAUAAAAGUGGUUUGUGUACUUGCUGAGCUUUCCGCGAAAAGCUGAAUUUCCAUAUGCAACUGCCAUUGGGAUACACCCUGUGCUCGCUUUGAAUAAACUGCAGCAAGUGAACACAGCUGGUGGUAUCCAGUGGCCGUUUGGCAUCCUUGCAGCUCCAGAUACCUCCAGGUCCAGGAUAGCUCCUACCUUCAGUAUGCGGUAAGUGCCUCGUCAAAUCUACCAGUUUACUGCUCUGGAUAAUACCAUUUGUUUUGCAAGUCCAAUUUAUCAAUAAUUUUCAUUUCGUUUAAUUGUUUCGUACUUUCCGUUAUAAACCUAAUUUUGCCAUACUAAAAAGAUGUUCUCUUAGCCAUAAGCUUCAGUUCGUUUCAACCAAGUAUUCAUUUUUCCCCAAAAAAAAAAAAAUAAAAAAAAAAACAAUGAAAAGAGAUAAAUUGGAAUUUGAAUAAAAUAAUCUUAAGACUUAAGAAUCGUUUAAGAAAAUAAUCAGUGAGAAGACAAAAAUUGCAUAUGAUUAUUAUACUCAGCAUUUUCUUGUUACACAUUCAAAAUAAUUAUAAUUUCGCUUUUGGUUUUCCGCUUGCUCCGAAUUUCUUUUCGAUUUGAAUGUAUUAUUUACCCCCACUUACCACAUGCACAUGGGGGCGGAUUGGUGUGGGGAUUUGAGGUGCGAUGAUGGGCGCAUCGAAUGCAACGCUCUGAAAACUCUUUAAACCAUUUAUUAUGCCCCGCACAAAAAGCAAACCGUCCGUAGAAAUGAGUGAAAUUUCAGCGAGGAGCGGUCCAAUCAGUUUUAGAAAUCGCUGGCAGAAACAAUUAAAAAGAUGUUCAUGCUGCAAAUUGAUUUUGUUUGCGAUUUAUAUAUAUAUAUAGAUUUAUUUUCGCCCAUUUUUUGUUGUUUUCACCCAGUCGCGUGCACUUGCCGCAAAACGAAAGCCAUUGGUAUUUUCUAUUUUCGUUUCGCUUCGGCUUUUUGGCUCAAACACUGGCGAUGCGAUGCAAUGCGAAUUUGCCAACAGUUCUUGAUCCGAAGUGCAGCUGUGCAAAGGCAACUUGGUGACAUUAUUUCGACAUUUGCCUGCUCGCGGCUGCAGCCACUUUUGUCACUUUUGCAUUUCAAAUGACCGUCAAUUAUCCUUUGUCGACACUCCCCUUUGUCUUUCGUAGUUCUCUUUACCCUGAGGUCAAGGAAAACGAAAUUGAUUUUCUGCCCGAGCGAAUUUUUCGUUUCUCCCCCGUGUUUUACGGGUAUAUGUAUAGUUUGGUACGUGUGCAUUUAAGAGUCUUUUUGCUUUCCCCUGUGUUUUAUGCAAUCACUGGGUUCUGUCACUGCCAUGAUUUUUUUUGGUCAAAUGGCAGUGUAAAAUCGGUUUUCCACCGGGGUUAGCCAAACAAUUAUCUGGAUAGUAAUUAAAGACACAGUCAUCGGCACAGUGUGCAUUCUCGGUGACCUCAUGGGCAAGUUUUAUGAUGAAAUUAGCAAUUAGCUGCGAUUGAAGUGCUCGCAUAUAAAACGCCAUCAAAUUCAAUAAAAACUCGCUCUCAAAUAAUAGACAAUGGCUAAGCGCUUGUGACUUACGCAAUCGAGGGAUAUAGAACUCAAGCCUAAGUUUUUUUUCAUCGGAAACAACAAGUUUAUGGCCAACAAAUUAAAUCAUUAAUCUAUAGGCGACUAUGAUUGAGCUAUCAAAAUGAUUUAUUAAAACCAAUGAGCUUUUGUUAUUUUUUGAUAGAUAUUUUGUGUGACCUGCAAUUUUAUAUUUAGAAGAUUUUUUGAUAGAGUCAAGGUCAGCAUUAUGUCUUUAAUAAGGUAUAGUUAAAUACAUAGUAUUAAUAAAAACAAACCUUUAAAAUUUUAUUAGAUUAGACCGUUCACAUUUAUUAGAGAUUGAUUUUCUUUUAGGAGUCUCAGUUUUUCUUAUUGCAAAUCCUCCCAGACAAAAUCAUUUUUCUAAGCUAACAUUAUAUUAAAUGGAGUUUUUCUCAUUCAAUCAACUUCAUAAACUAACUUACAUUGUUACUAAAAGAGACAGUGCAGCCAUUUAUAUACAUUUAAAUUUUUACAAUUUUAAGAGGGUUCGUAUGCACUGUUAAUAUUAAUUCCCCGAUCGUCUGUCUGUCUGUCUGUCAGAGCACUUUAAAUCAUUUAUCGCACAAGAUCGUGUGUCAGCCCUCGUUUUAUCGAAAUAACAUUAUAAAGGCAGUAAGGGCACUAAUUACACGAAAUGCUGCAGGUCAUGCAUGACGAGAUUAACAAUUCCGAUAGCAGCUGUUGGCCUCAGGCGGAACAAUCGCGGUGGAACAGCGGGAUUUUCAAUUUAAGGUUGACCUUAGAACAAAAUUUGAUCGAUAAUUUCGCAUAAUUGUGGAAUCUCUCUCGCAAAAAAAAAAAACUGUGACACACGGACACGCACACAGGGAAACAUCACCUUGAACAUUUAACUGCAACUGUGCAAGAGAGAUAGCUCGAGAGGGAGAGGGGGAGAGUAGUAGAUAAAGAGAGCUAGAUAGUUUGCGUCAUGUGCAACUGCAAAAGCUCUUGGCUUCCGCUGUUCGUCAUUGCCUGAGUGUGUGUGGGAUGAGAGAGCUUUAACCGAAAGCUGGCUCUCCCCCACUCUCUUGCCAGUGCCGAGUGUGUUAGCUUUUUUGAACGAGCCGAGCAGCUGACAAUUGCGCUUCAGCGUUAGACCAAAGUAGUUCGACUUUUUAGUUUUAGCCGCGAAAUGAAAAGUUCGUUCCGUUCUAUGUGUGUGUGCGUGUGUGUGUGUGUUGUGGCAGCUGCAUUUGCAGCGAGAGACAGAAAUACAUUUAAUACAAAAUUCCGCCCUGCAUUUAGUAUAUUUCACCUUAGAGCGUCUUUGCCGCACACACACACACACACACACAUCCGUACGAGAGACAGACACACACGUGGCCAUCAAAACGGUAUCGGUUCGCGUCGCGUUUGGCCUAAAAUUGUAACAGUUUUUCUUUACAAACGGCAACGGCGAAGGCAAAGAAAAGCCAAAAACGCAGCUGCAGUCGACGUCGCUGCCGCUGCAGUCGCCGACGUCCGUUUCUGUUGGCCAAUUGCCGUUGGCCAGCUUCAGUGUUCAUUUUCCCAUCGAGUCGGCAACAACGAGCGGAAGUAGCAGGGGCACACAGCUGGCGGACAGUCGAUCGAUCCACACAACAGCUGAUUAACUGCGUUUUCCAACCCAUAUAGUGUGUUCCUCUUAACCAACCCAACCCGGAUUGCAUAAACCCAAAACUGAAACCCCAAAACACACCAAACUCAAACCCAAGCCCAGACUUUUUCGGUGGCGUAUACGUAAUAUCAGUCGGUUAGCUGCACAUCUGCCAUUGCAAUUGCAAUUCGCUGGGCAUUAUGCAAUGGCACAACAGAUAGACACCCUGUAAUUGGCAUGGCAUGAACAACAACAGAAAAAAAAAAAAAAAAAAACAAUGGCCGUUCGUUCGCUCACACACAUUGUUAAGUAGUUUUUGUGUCUAGUCGGGGCAAUUUGUUUAAAACAAUCAGCAGCACUUGUGUGUGCGCGGUGGCGGCGGCGGCGGCGGCGGCUUUUUCUCUCGCUCGCACCCGCCGCAGCGGCGGUUUUAAAUUUAGUAUCGCUGCAGUUGCUGCUUGUAACCCAAAUUUUGCAUCUCUCUGUGCAGUUCGUUUUCAUCUUAUAUAAGAUGCACAAAACAAAGACCUUGUUAAUUGUUGAACAAGUAGGGGAGCAGUGGAACGGGGCUCAGCUCUGGGCAAGUGAAAUCUCAAUUAAAGUCUGGCUUUCGGCGACUUCAAAAGGGGAAGAUAAAAUUCAGGCGAGGGCAAUUAAAUCGGAGGCACUUGCAAUCCGAGAGCAACAACUCACACUCGGCCACUUGACCUUGCUCGGUUUCGCCAUGCGAACACAGUACGUAUACGCGCUGUGGGCCAGUGUGUUAGUGUGUGAGUGUGUGAGUGUGUGAGUGUGGGGGUAACACAGCAAAUUGCAAUAUUUUGUGUAAAAAUAACGAACCGACUUUUACAUAAGGCCAUCGGUACAUAGAAAAUACACACGCCCACAAGCGAAUAGCCAUUCACCUGCAGUGGUGUGCGUGCGUGCCUGUAGGUGGGUGUUAUGAGGUCGAUUUUUGUUGUUUUUCCCCGCGCUCGUGUGGGUGGAUGACUGAAAAAUGCAUUUGACACAGAAAACAGGCGUGCAAACACAAACAGAUAUCGAAAAGCAGAUAUUUCCUAAGCCAGUGCAAAUUCAUAACGAACAAAAAGCGAUGAAGAAACAGCUUAUCUCAGCCCGAGAAAUACGAAUAUAUUUCUGUGAUUCAUGGCAAAAAUCCACGUUGAUUGAUUUGAUGCCAAGAGGGAAUCUAAAAACCAGUUUAAAGCUUACUAAAAAAAUUUCACAGACACAAACUUAUGAGCCUUAGCGAUUUUCUUUUUGAAGUAUUAAAGCGAAAACUAACACAUCUCAAGCAAGUCAGCAUUAAACAUUUUUCUAUUUUAAAAGUAAUAAAUUUCGUCUUUGGACUUUGCAGUCUGUUAAUCGUUGAGCAGCAUUUAUAAAUAGCUAAGUACGUUUUUAUAAACAUUCGCCAGAGUGCCGCGAAAUUUUCGUUGAAUUUGCAUUUGGAUUUUGGACUUUAACUGAUAUCAGCAGCCGGCAGCAGACAAAAGUUGUCAUCACGUAAAUCCCAAUAAACAGAUAUUAUUAUGACAUCAUUGUCGGCGGCGUUCUGUGAUGGAUCAUUGACUACUAGUAUUUUGUGCCUAGUUAGACAGCAUGUAAAGUAUCAGUUUAGACUCCUAAUUUGUCAGUCAACCAGACUAAAACGAUUAGCAUUUGCUGAUAAGCCAGGUCUAGCAUUCAGCAUUUAUUCGGAAUUUGAAAUACCCCAAAUGAAUCACGUGUUGUUUUCAUUUGCUUUUAAGUAUUUCUGAGAUUUUUCAUAUAUUUUUCAUCGAAUCAAAUAUAUAGCUAUACAUUGUGAAAUGUUUGGUUGCCUUUUGGCUACCAAAAGCGACCUUCAGCCCGGACCGCAAGGUCGUUUGUGGGGAGAUGAGGAGAUGGGGAGAUGGCAAUGCAGCAGCCUGCAAACUACUCCGCAUGGAGGUCGAUCUGCCCCUCGCCCCAUCACUCGCACUACAGCAGUUAUGUAAAGACGAAAUUGGGUCAGUGUUAUGACCCAGUUUAUUGGGGAGGGAAGUCAGCCCCAGCCAUUCAACCCCCCGCAAGUUGCAGUUUGAUAAGUUUGAAACGGACUUUUUGGCACCUCCGAUAAUUACAAUUGGAUGGGCUUCGUGACGCCGCGUAUUGAUUUUUAGUCAGGCCGUCAGCUUACAUACAUAGUAUAGCCAACCUAGAUAGCUCUGGCCUGGCCCAAGUGUAUUGGUAUCUAUCGGAUACACGGCACCAUCCAUGGCCUGGCUGCAGUCGUGAGCUGAGCCAAGGAGCCAAAAAUAAAAAUUCUCUUUGGCUCCGGGCCAAAUGCAGUGCACAUUGGAUUGGCAAGGGUGUGGAUUGGAGGGCGGUUCUUUUGCAGGGUAAAAUGAAAAGUGAAAUGUUGCCAUGCCAUGAACCAAAAACAAAAACAAAAAAAAAAAAAAACAAGAGAAAGCACAGAAAAAGAGCUGCAUAGAAUUUAUCUAUAUUUAUUUGCCAGAAUUCUGACAUUUAUUAGUUUGUCCGAUGAAUUUAGUCGAAGAGUGCUCUAUAAAUAUGGCUUAAAUGCAGUCGGAUGACAAAUUUAUGGCCCACCGCAUAACUCAUCUAUUACCCACUUUGACCCCCUUCGCCGCCGCCUUUUGUGUUGCAAAUUCAAUGCACACUUGUGUGUCAUUUCGCCUGCCACUUAUUACAUCACCCAGAAGGCAAAAUACACGGCACGUUGCCAUACGAUAUAGACACUGCUUGAGGCCUAUAACGAUUUGGGUCAACCUGAGCCUGCCAGCAAAUCUUCACACAAACACGCGCCCUCAUAGAAACGCUUUUAUCGAUGGCUUUUCGGACAAGUAGCAGUCCGUUUGUUGUUCCUUGCGAAACAGUUUAAACUUUGAUGAAUUCACUCGUCAGUUGUUCGAAGAAAGUUGUUCAAAGUAUCUGCAUUAUUUAGCUGUUGGAAAGUUAAGUAAACAAUGUGUUUUCUAAGAAAAUUUGUUAGAAUACAGCUAUAUUGGUGUCAAAAUUGAAUUGGAAUGAAAGUUUCCAAAAACAACUAUUAUUUUAAAGUAAAUAUUUCAAUUCAACACAUUUCAAUAGACAUAAUGCCCAACUUGAUUCUUGUUUUGGCCAGACCUUUCAUUUCUCUAUUUUUUUCUUUCACUCGCACGCAGCGCUGGUCUUUAUGAUCUUCUAUUAGGUUUCACGCCUUUAACGCAUGACUCAGUUUGUUUUGUUCUUUUUAAUUUUAGACUAAAUUGCCAUAAAACCAAAAGCAAAAAACUUGUAUGCUUCAGCAGCGUUCGUCAUAAGUUAGCAGCUGCGUCAAUUGUGGGCUCCAUUAUUAAUAAAUGCCGCUGUGGCAGCCACGUAAAAAUGGUGACGGAAAGAGAGAUAAGUUUAUGGAAUUUCUUACUUCCAGCUUAUCGUGGUCACAUUUCCAUAUCGCUUUGUUGCCAAGCGAAUAAUCCGCUCCCGAAAAACUGACGAAAAACGCCCAAAAACUAAAUCAUUCACAAACAAUUUGUAUAAAAUUUGGGCAGUCAGACAAGGGCUGCCUUCGCUUUUGGACUUGUCUGGCUGUUGUGGUUUCCCGUCUGCAGAUAAAGAAUCGAAUAGCAAACAUUCCGCGUCUGUGAUUACGUAUACGCCGCGUUUACCGAGCUAUACGUUUUCCUCCUCAUGAAUGUAUCUGUAUCUGAGUCAGUCGAGUGUGUAUUUAGCAGAUAAUAAGUGCCAGAGUCAGCGUGCGUGUUUUUUAGUUAUGUGUGGCUGAUCAUGCGACCCACCGAAUUAAAAAGGGGGAACGCUCUCUCCAUUUGAUACUCUUUGUCUGUGGUACUGUGAUUUCAUAAGGCAACAUUUUAUUUAGAUUUUUGCUGUUUAACAAAAUAGUUUUAAAAAAUCUAAAUGUUUUCCUAUUUUGUUUAUAAGUUUCUUUUAAAACCCAAAUGUGCUGUGUAAAAUGUAAAGAGAGAAAUUCAUUCGUUUUAAAAACGAUUUUAUUUAAUCAUCUUUUUUGGAAAGACAUUGUUUUUGUGCUCGGUAUAAAUUUGCUUGGUGAAAAUUAAUUAUUAGAAUCCACAGUCCACCAGGAAAGCAGUAGCACUGAAUAUCGGCUAUAAUUCACAAAUUCUUUUUCCACCUCAGCGCUGGCUUCAUGUUUCACGUUAUACUUUUGGCUCUUGCAAUUCUUUUCGGCCAAGUCAAACAGUAAUUUAUUUAAGUAGCGUUAUGGCCCUCUAUUUCAGUUUGGUAACACUUCGGGUCACUUCCGGUGACGACAACUUCUUCGAAACUCCGUUGGCUGGCAGUGGCAGUGGCAGCUUUUAUGACCCAGAUAAAAGUAAACGUGUUGGCCAACACAGCAAAAAGAGCGGGGGGUCGGGGGCUGAAUGGAGGGGCCAUUGGUUCAUGAAGUGCUAAUGAAAAAUGCUCAGCAUUUGCCUAAUGAAAUUAUAACUGAGCCACUAAGUGGGCCAUAAAGAGGAGCGCGCAGCUUGGAGGGGGACGCGGUGGGGACUGUCAGAAUGGUGGCGAGAAGGUGUUUUGGGGCAUUUUAGAAAUUUUUUCAUUCAACUGCCAGGUCGACCAUGUAACCCAUUUAACGCACAUGGAUACGAACGAUUUGACAGGCACAUGGAAGCACAUUUUGUUUCUUUAUUCAGUUAACGCUUUUUAAGCUCAUGAGCUAGCUUUUCAUUUAUCGAUACACACACAUACGCACACACAGCGACACAAAUGAACAAUAAUUUAUUUAAUUGCCCGAGCUCUUGUUCUUUCGAAAUUAGAACACACACAAGCACACACUCCUCUCGCUGGCACGCGAUUAAAAAACUAAAUGGUUACACACAUUAUGAAUUUUACAAGCUAAGACUGUUUAUUAUCUGUCAGAUAUUCCACACGGUUAUGUGCAUGUGUGCUUAUAGAUGACACAUCGCGUAUACGCAGUGUGUUUGCAGUCAUGUUCGGUCGAUUUUUUAAUUGCGAAAUUUCGGUUCUGUUUUGCUCCGCUCAAAAUUCAAUGUAUUUUGAUUGUAUUCUACAAUAAUUGUUAGCAUUGGUCUGGUUCCUCCACUUCUUGCCUUUGUUGGUUUAGGCCCAAUGCUCGCUCAAUGUUUUGGCCUCGUUGUUGGAUUUAUUUUGUGUUUAUACGCCACACCUAGAGUCAAGUAAAAAGCAGCCAAGCAAGUCAAAAUUGAAGGCUGCAUUGGCCGAACUGCGCCCAUUUGCCGGAAUAGAAAUGAAUCUCUGCUCUAGAAAACAUUGGGAACUGCAUUGAUGAAAUAGUCAGCUUGGGUACAAGUUCUUAAGAAAUUCGGCACUGGAUUACUUUUUGAGCAAUCAGUUUAUAAUCGUCGUGCUUAUCUUAUCGACCCCUUGCAAAUGGGUUCCAGUUUCGAUGUUGAGGGCAUUUCAUUCAGUUUCCGCCUAGAUUUAACCAGCUUACAUGGCGUUGACUGAUAGGCCGCAGCAUAAAUGGGAAAAACUCAGCCCGAAUGACAUGUGGUGACACACAAACGACUUGUAUAACCGAUCGGCGAUCGGCGAUCGACACUCGGCGAUCCGCAUCGACCCACUUUGUGCACACACCCCUCGGGGCCCACCUACAUACUCAUAUCGCCCCGAUCCGUUGGUUAUAGCUUAUCACUAUCAACUACGCACCUUGGCACCUGCGGCUGCUUAUCACCAGUUUCGUGAGCGUUGCGGCCGGUUUCUUAGUUCAUGGUUCAUUGUACUCGGAUUUCCAGUCCCAGUUCCAUUACCGUUCCCGUUCCCACUUCACUUUUGUUCUGCAUGCGUUUGAGCUUUGUUUGUUUGUUGGAGUUACCUUCGUUUUCGGUUUAUCGUCGAAUCCAACCCUCCAGCAAUAGCCUCCAGGAGAUCCAUUGACUGGUCCAAUAGCUGCUCAAUGACACUGCCCCCCACAAAUACGCGACGCCGCGCCGUGCUCAACAUAAUUUUAGUUUCUGUUUCUGUUUCAGUUUCAGUUUAAAAUAAAAACGAUUAAAUGACAAUGCAUCCUUUGAAGGUUUUGGGCUGCGUGUCAGGAGUGCAUUUGCACUGAAACAUUCUGAAGCAUGUAAAUGCACUAUCUGGUACGACAUUCCAGAACGUACAAUCUUCCCGAAUGCAAGAAAAUGCGAGAACAAUAAAUGAAAUAUGCAAUUUUUGUGAUAGUGUGACAAACCAAUUCUCAAACUGAUUUUUACCCUAAACAUAUUAAUAAGAAAUAAAUAAGCUUACUCUUAAGUUACAUAUCUGUAUGACACUGUUUUUAAAUAAAGAAUGCAAUAAAAUAUGAAUAUCUUCUAUGAAGACCUUUGAACUGUA